RNAcentral lists this ribosomal RNA (433 nucleotides) under uncultured bacterium. RNAcentral describes it as "partial 16S ribosomal RNA". It matches the Rfam family "Bacterial small subunit ribosomal RNA", at positions 29 to 507 of the family's 1533-position model. The record is from RNAcentral.
AACGAACGCUGGCGGCAUGCCUAACACAUGCAAGUCGAACGAGACCUUCGGGUCUAGUGGCGCACGGGUGCGUAACGCGUGGGAACCUGCCCUUAGGUUCGGAAUAACUCCCCGAAAGGGGUGCUAAUACCGGAUAAUGUCUUCGGACCAAAGAUUUAUCGCCUUUGGAUGGGCCCGCGUUGGAUUAGCUAGUUGGUAGGGUAAAAGCCUACCAAGGCGACGAUCCAUAGCUGGUCUGAGAGGAUGAUCAGCCACACUGGGACUGAGACACGGCCCAGACUCCUACGGGAGGCAGCAGUGGGGAAUAUUGGAAAAGGGGCGAAAGCCUGAUACAGCAAUGCCGCGUGAGUGAUGAAGGCCUUAGGGUUGUAAAGCUCUUUUACCCGGGAUGAUAAUGACAGGACCGGGAGAAUAAGCUCCGGCUAACUCCGUG